UACAGAGGGUGCGAGCGUUAAUCGGAAUUACUGGGCGUAAAGCGCGCGUAGGCGGCUUUGCAAGCCAGAUGUGAAAUCCCCGGGCUUAACCUGGGAAUGGCAUUUGGGACUGCAAGGCUUGAGUGCGGCAGAGGAGACUGGAAUUCCUGGUGUAGCAGUGAAAUGCGUAGAUAUCAGGAGGAAUACCGAUGGCGAAGGCAGGUCUCUGGGCUGACACUGACGCUCAUGCACGAAAGCGUGGGGAGCAAACAGG
This 253-nucleotide ribosomal RNA is filed under the name uncultured bacterium. RNAcentral describes it as "partial 16S ribosomal RNA". It matches the Rfam family "Bacterial small subunit ribosomal RNA", at positions 524 to 776 of the family's 1533-position model. The record is from RNAcentral.